Molecule: small RNA, 196 nt
Filed under: Francisella tularensis subsp. tularensis TI0902
Lineage: Bacteria; Pseudomonadati; Pseudomonadota; Gammaproteobacteria; Thiotrichales; Francisellaceae
Source: RNAcentral
GGGGCUAACCUAUGUGUUAGCCCUAUUUUAUAUUAUGGUUUAUAUAUCAUAACGGGUUGACACACAGGUCAACUGCUACCACACAUUUUCACAAAUCCAUAGUUUAUUGUAGGGGCAGAUUCUAUAUCUGCCCUUUUAUACCAUUUUUUGCAUUUUUUAUUCUUCUAACUCACUGGCUAAAUAAUCAAAAUAUUCU